UACGAGGGGUGCAAGCGUUGUUCGGAAUCACUGGGCGUAAAGGGCGUGUAGGCGGUCUUAUAAGUCGGUUGUGAAAUUCCUGUGCUUAACAUAGGGCCUGCAACCGAAACUGUAAGACUUGAGUCUUGAAGGGGAGAGCGGAAUUCUGCAUGUAGAGGUGAAAUUCGUAGAUAUGCGGAGGAACACCAGUGGCGAAGGCGGCUCUCUGGGCAAUGACUGACGCUGAGGCGCGAAAGCGUGGGGAUCAAACAGG
RNAcentral lists this ribosomal RNA (253 nucleotides) under uncultured bacterium. Its description in RNAcentral is "partial 16S ribosomal RNA". It matches the Rfam family "Bacterial small subunit ribosomal RNA", at positions 524 to 776 of the family's 1533-position model. The record is from RNAcentral.